This 1468-nucleotide long non-coding RNA is filed under the name Sus scrofa (pig). RNAcentral's name for it is "lncRNA (ENSSSCG00065054055.1)". The record is from RNAcentral. Lineage: Eukaryota; Metazoa; Chordata; Mammalia; Artiodactyla; Suidae.
GCAAUAGCUCCGGCAGGCGGGAGGGACGCGUCCAGUGCUUUCGCGAGGUCCUGCUGCCUGCCGCUGGAACCUGGUCGAGCGAGGCAGCGGCGACGCCGACGGUCUGAAGUUCCCGGUCAGCGGGUUGCGGAGGAUCGUGCGGGUAGCAAAGGGAGGGCGAGUGCUCCUGCGGCCCCAGACGGCAACCAGUACAAUGGUGACCACGUUUUGAAGAUGGCAGACUGUCUAGACAGAAGAUGCCUAAAACCCCAAGUCACCACUCAGAAGAGGGCAGCCCAGCUAUUAACACACAUGUUUCGGACGACUACAGGAGCAAGAAGUACAUUUAUUAUCCUGAAUUUCACGGAGAUGUUUUUGUCCUGUCCCAGAAGCUAACUUUACCUUAACUAAUACUUGACUAAGCACCAGCCCCCUUAAAAAACAUCGCAGCGGUUUUUUUUCUGCAACUUGGGGUCAUGGUGAGAGCUGGGCUUAUCACCAAUGGCGAUAAGAGGAUUACCUUCCAAGACAAGUGGGAUCCAGUUCCUAUAAUGGACAGCAGAGCCAUAGCAGUAAUCAGAACGGUUGGACUUGUGUGGAUCUGUAGUGGUGGCAAAUUAAACGUGGUUACCCUAGGGCCAAAAUAGAUGGACAGCCUACUAAGGUCCUACUUGAUUUAUGUAAUCAAAACAAAACAAAGCAAAAAACAGUCUAGCAAAUGGAGGCUUGAUCUAGUCCCCCAAAUAUAGAGUCCCAGCCCCUCUCCCAGUUCAUGGACUAGAGCCCCUUGGAUGAAGGGGAGGAUCUGCUUGUAGAAGGACCUUGCUACACUUUUCACAAGAGUGUGUGGGGAACUCUCCCACCAUGCUUUUCCCACAGGAGCCUGCAGCCAACGUAAUUGUGCUUUGAGGACCCGGAAGUACCCAGAACUUUUGAAAUAGACUGCCUACUGGUUCUGAGUUAACCUUCCUUGACCUAGACUGUCAUCAUGGUCCACUGGUCAGAGCGGGAUAAAGUCUUACAUAAAAUGUCAGCCUGAGUUCUUCUCCUAUUGGGCCCAGCAGAUCCAAAAUCCCAUCCUGUGAUGUGCCCAGUGCCUGGACACAUAAUUGGAAUACAUAUGGAAUAGAUGGCAUAAAGGGUAUGAGGGCUACAGAUGAAGAAAAAUGUGUGAGUGGUGGAAAGACCAGCUUGAGGACCUCUUGUGGAUAUCAACAAGAAAGAAUAAAGAGAUAGAAAAUAUUUUUUUUAGGAGUUCCUGUCAUGGCUUAGCGGCUAACGAACCCGACUAGGAACCAUGAGAUUGUGGGUUCGAUCCCUGGCCUUGAUUAGUGGGUUAAAGUCCAGCAUUGCUGUGAGCUGUGGUGUAGGUUGCAGAUGCGGCUCGGAUCCCACAUUGCUGUGCCUGUGGCCUAGGCUGGCAGCUACAACUCCAAUUGGAAACCCUAUGCUGGGAACCUCCAUAUGCUGCGGGUGCAGCCCUAAAAAG